This 680-nucleotide small RNA is filed under the name Pongo abelii (Sumatran orangutan). Its description in RNAcentral is "processed transcript". The record is from RNAcentral. Lineage: Eukaryota; Metazoa; Chordata; Mammalia; Primates; Hominidae.
GGGUUUCGGAGCUUGCCGGGAAACCUGGAGGCUGGCCCGCCUGUGGAGGCCGGGAGGGUCGGGGCAGGCCCCGCCCAUCAUUUCAGUGCGUGGUGCCCUCGAAGCGCCCGCGGAGCUACGGGAGGCUAGACAGAAGCCUGAGGCCGGGGUGCUAGAGAACCUUGCCGUGCUGGAAUUCACGUUGAUGCCCCCACGGAGCUCUGCUGCAGAGCCCGCGAGUCCCGCACUUCCGGCCGCCAGGUGGCGCUGGUUCUGUUGCCAACUCGGAGAGACUGAGCUGGGCCACGCAAGAUGGCGCCGUCCGCCUUGCUGCGUCCCGUCUCCCGGCUGCUGGCCCCCGCCAGGCUCCCGAGUGGCCCUUCAGCGCGAUCAAAGUUCUACGUGCGAGAGCCGCUGAAUGCCAAACCUGACUGGCUGAAAGUUGGGUUCACCUUGGGCACCACCGUCUUCUUGUGGGUCUAUCUCAUCAAACAACACAAUGAAGAUAUUUUAGAGUACAAAAGAAGAAAUGGGCUGGAAUAAACUUUUGAAAUACUAAUGUAGUAUGCUCCGUAUAGUGAUGGUAGCUGUUCCUCUGGAUUCACCAUCUGUUGAGUUGUAAAUGUGAGAGAAAAAGUUAUAUGUGAAUAUAUAUUGUCAGCAUUUGUAUUUUGCAUCAUUAAAUAAAAAGAAAUAAAAAU